RNAcentral lists this ribosomal RNA (494 nucleotides) under uncultured bacterium. Its description in RNAcentral is "partial 16S ribosomal RNA". It matches the Rfam family "Bacterial small subunit ribosomal RNA", at positions 28 to 507 of the family's 1533-position model. The record is from RNAcentral.
GACGAACGCUGGCGGCGUGCCUAAUACAUGCAAGUGAACUCUGAAGGAGGAGCUUGCUCUUCUGGAUGAGUUGCGAACGGGUGAGUAACGCGUAGGUAACCUGCCUGGUAGCGGGGGAUAACUAUUGGAAACGAUAGCUAAUACCGCAUAAGAGUAGAUGUUGCAUGACAUUUGCUUAAAAGGUGCAAUUGCAUCACUACCAGAUGGACCUGCGUUGUAUUAGCUAGUUGGUGGGGUAACGGCUCACCAAGGCGACGAUACAUAGCCGACCUGAGAGGGUGAUCGGCCACACUGGGACUGAGACACGGCCCAGACUCCUACGGGAGGCAGCAGUAGGGAAUCUUCGGCAAUGGACGGAAGUCUGACCGAGCAACGCCGCGUGAGUGAAGAAGGUUUUCGGAUCGUAAAGCUCUGUUGUAAGAGAAGAACGAGUGUGAGAGUGGAAAGUUCACACUGUGACGGUAUCUUACCAGAAAGGGACGGCUAACUACGUG